Homo sapiens (human) is the source of this 1933-nucleotide long non-coding RNA. Ensembl annotates it as ST8SIA5 divergent transcript. Its record names the gene ST8SIA5-DT. Lineage: Eukaryota; Metazoa; Chordata; Mammalia; Primates; Hominidae. The record is from Ensembl.
GAGACGGGGUUUCACCUUGUUAGCCAGGAUGGUCUCGAUCUCCUGACCUCAUGAUCCACCCGCCUCGGCCUCCCAAAGUGCUGGGAUUACAGGCGUGAGCCACCGCGCCCGGCCACAGGUAGGCUUUUUAACCAAUUAAAGAAAAACUCCAACAUUUAGAGGGCCCAUUAUUAUAAUAAUUCCUGUAUUUGUUUGCUGUCUGGCACAUAAAAACGUGCUUCACUUGCAUAUAUUAAUGAAUUUUCACCUCCUAGCCCCUGGCUAACCCAUUUUACAGCUGAAAGGACUAAAGCAACAGAUGCCCAAAGUAACUCACCUAGCAACAAGUCUUGGGAUUCUGAGAUGAGGUUCUUUCUCCCACACACACAGGCAGGCUGGCUUCUUGGGAGUGGGACUUGUUCAUUUGUCCCCACCACCACCAUUGAUUUUGACUGAUUGCUCCACUCUUGCUGUCUUCAAACUUUUGAACAAGGGGGUUUGCAUUUCUCUUUGCACUGGGCCAAAUUAUGAGGUAGGUCCUACACACAGGCUCCAAGAUGACAGUACUAAUUUUUCACUAAUUUUUCUCUACUUGGUGCUCAAGUGUAGAGUUUGAGGGGUACUAUCAUCUUCACUCCAGGCAAGGCACUGUUGUUUCUUUUGUAUUCCUGCUUAUUCUCCACCCCAUCAGGUGCUCACUCUGAUACCUGUCUUUGAGUGCUGUUUUCUUGGAAAAACAAAUCUAUUUUCAAGAAAUGAAUCAAAAUUAUCCUAAGAACUUUUUAAUUGCAAUAUAAUGCAUUUACAGAAAAGUACACAAAUCAUAAAUGUUCAGGUCGCUGUGUUUUCACAAGCUGAACACACCCAUGUAACCAGUACACAGAUCAAUUAUCGGCCCCCAGGAGUCCCCUCAUGUUCCUAUCUGGUUACUAUGUACUCAAGAGUAACCACUGUUCUGAAUCCUAACCCCAAAGAUCAGUGCUUCCUGUUUUGUGUUUUAUAUAAAUGCAAUUAUACAUUAUAUAUUAUUUUGUGUCUGCCUUCUUUUGCUUAACGUUGCUAUGAGAUUUAUCCAUGCUGUUGCAUGUGGUGGGCAGAAUUACAAGAAGACCCCCAAGAUUCCUCACCCCUUCUUGUAUGCACAUUCCCAUAGGUAUUGAUCUAGGCGCUGCUGUGAAGGGAAUUUGCAGAUGUAAUUGGCCUAAAUCAGUUGGCUUUAAUAUCAGGAAAUUGUCCUCAGUGGGCAUGGCCAUAUGGAGCCCUUACAAGGGACUGGGCUCUUCCUGGUGAAAAAGAUUUGAAUCACGAGAGUGGCUGAUAUGAGGGAAAUUCUUUGCUGUUGCCUUCGAAGACAGAAGAGGUCCACAAGGCAAAGGAUGCAGACAGCCUGUAGGAGCUGAGACUGGCUCCUGGCUGACAGCCAGCAAGGAAAUGAGGACCUCAGUCCUCCAAUCAUGAAGCAGACUCCGACUUCUGCUAACAACCUGAAUACACUUCAAAGAGGAUUCUGAGCUCCAGCCGCCUACACAUUGAUUUCAGCUGUUGGGACCCUCAGCCGAGAACCCAGCUAUGCCGUGCCCAGAUGUAAGACCUACACAUCUGUGAGCUUUCUAGUUAACAAGAUGGAGGAAGAGAUAAAGAAGGACAUUCCCCAAAGUCUCACAGAACUCUUCUGCUCACAUCUCAUUGGCUAACAUGAGUCACAUGGUGAACCUGGAUGCAGGGAGGCUGAAGAAGACAGUCAUCUUGCUGGGCAGAAGGAAAGGAAGGAGGACCUAUGAACAGUGGUGGGUUCCAUGUCAGGGGCUUGCCAGCCACAAGGAAAGGUCAGAAAUUCCCAGAAUUUCAGUUCUGAAAUCUGUAUGUUGACCCAGACUCUUGGGAAUUUUACCUGGAUAUUUUCAGAUUCUUAAACAUAAUUUUUAAUGUCAUUUGAAUGGAUGCAGAGGAGAGC